CGGUGUAUUUCCUGGUGAAAAUUAUCCUCAGCGAGUCCAGAAUUCUCUGUUACGUAUUGCUCCCAAAGGCCAUACAGAGGUAACGACGAUGGCGUGUGGAUCGUGCUCAAACGAAAAUGCGUACAAGGCAAUUUUCGUUUGGUAUCGCCGGAAACAGAGGGGAGAUAAGUCAUAUACCCCAGAGGAGAAGACGAGUUGCGUAAUGAACCAAUUGCCUGGUGUUUCUGACCUGACUCUUAUGUCUUUCAAAGGCGCUUUCCACGACAGAACGUUUGGUACGUUAAUCACGACUCAUACCAAGCCAGUCCAUAAACUGGACAUUCCUACAAAGGACUGGCCAAUUGG
Long non-coding RNA from Daphnia carinata, 345 nucleotides. RefSeq lists it as uncharacterized. The transcript is spliced from 3 exons. The record is from RefSeq and is a predicted model, not a curated record. Lineage: Eukaryota; Metazoa; Arthropoda; Branchiopoda; Diplostraca; Daphniidae.